Non-coding RNA from Triticum aestivum (bread wheat), 125 nucleotides. The record is from Rfam. Lineage: Eukaryota; Viridiplantae; Streptophyta; Magnoliopsida; Poales; Poaceae.
AAAGUACUCCCUCCGUCCAAAAAUACUUGUCAUUGAAAUGGAUGUAUCUAGAUGUAUUUUAGUUCUAGAUACAUUCAUUUUCAUCCGUUUCGAUGACAAGUAUUUUCGGACGGAGGGAGUAGUUU